CUCUGUCUCUCUCUCUGUCUCUCUCUGUCUCUCUCUCUCUGUCUCUCUUUCUCUCUCUCUGUCUCUCGUUCACUCUCUCUGUCUUGCGCUUCCCCCCCUGCUGCGAUCUCCUAUGGAAGGCCUACUGUCUUCAAAAAUGCCAGGUCAGGGGACAACUUUAAGAAAGUGUGUGGUCUGCCACACAGAAAUCAAUGUCGCAUGCAAAACUUGCAAGGCAUGCAAAGCAAAGCAACCUCAAAAGCUAAGGCUAAAAAAAAAAUUAGAAAAAUUUGAUGAAAAGCGGGAGAGCUGGGUCCAUACCCACCAAAAAAAUCGGACCACCUCCCACAUCGUGGAUGAAGCUUCUAUGCUGCUUGAAAAAUUGCAGGCCCUGGGUGUAAGGGCUGUAAUAGUUUUGUCCAAGCCCGGAAGAAAAGAGAAUGUCUGGGUUUCAGAGGUUUUGGCACCCCGUUGUCAACUGACAGACACUUCUAAAAAGUGUCUUGAAAGAAUAAAGACACUCUAUGAACUUGUUAUUCAAGGCUGGACCCCACAAGUUGCUGCAGGACAUUCAUCAUCCCCAGUUGAACCCCAAACUACACCUCAACUGGCCACACCAACAACACAGGUUGCUGUUGCCCAGCCUCAUCCCCCUGCAGCUCCACCUACACCUCAACU
Perca fluviatilis (European perch) is the source of this 657-nucleotide long non-coding RNA. RefSeq lists it as uncharacterized. NCBI's taxonomy places the organism in Eukaryota, Metazoa, Chordata, Actinopteri, Perciformes, Percidae. The transcript is spliced from 4 exons. The record is from RefSeq and is a predicted model, not a curated record.